Molecule: ribosomal RNA, 819 nt
Filed under: uncultured bacterium
Lineage: Bacteria
Description: bacterial SSU rRNA
Rfam family: Bacterial small subunit ribosomal RNA
Source: RNAcentral
AACGAACGCUGGCGGCAGGCCUAACACAUGCAAGUCGAGCGCACCUUCGGGUGAGCGGCGGACGGGUUAGUAACGCGUGGGAAUAUGCCCUUCACUACGGAAUAGCCUCGGGAAACUGAGAGUAAUACCGUAUACGCCCUUCGGGGGAAAGAUUUAUCGGUGAAGGAUUAGCCCGCGUCUGAUUAGAUAGUUGGUGGGGUAACGGCCUACCAAGUCUACGAUCAGUAGCUGGUUUGAGAGGAUGAUCAGCAACACUGGGACUGAGACACGGCCCAGACUCCUACGGGAGGCAGCAGUGGGGAAUCUUAGACAAUGGGCGCAAGCCUGAUCUAGCCAUGCCGCGUGAGUGACGAAGGCCUUAGGGUCGUAAAGCUCUUUCGCCAGAGAUGAUAAUGACAGUAUCUGGUAAAGAAACCCCGGCUAACUCCGUGCCAGCAGCCGCGGUAAUACGGAGGGGGUUAGCGUUGUUCGGAAUUACUGGGCGUAAAGCGUGCGUAGGCGGAUUGGAAAGUUGGGGGUGAAAUCCCGGGGCUCAACCCCGGAACUGCCUCCAAAACUAUCAGUCUAGAGUUCGAGAGAGGCGAGUGGAAUUCCAAGUGUAGAGGUGAAAUUCGUAGAUAUUUGGAGGAACACCAGUGGCGAAGGCGGCUCACUGGCUCGAUACUGACGCUGAGGUACGAAAGUGUGGGGAGCAAACAGGAUUAGAUACCCUGGUAGUCCACACCGUAAACGAUGAAUGCCAGACGUCGGGGGGCUUGCCCUUCGGUGUCACACCUAACGGAUUAAGCAUUCCGCCUGGGGAGUACGGUCGUAAGAUUA